UCAUCAACAUCUAAUGGCUCUUAAUCCUCCGGUGUUUAACACUACCAACCACGCAUUACGCCACUAGAAUCCAUCGAUCGCUAAUCUGCCCGUCGUUAAACAAAAACCGCUGCCUGCACACGACCGCACGACCUCUCUCGACCCAUCCUCCUCCUCCCGUGCCGUUCGCCGCCCAGUCAUUCCUCUCGCAGCCCCGCGCCGCCAUUAGUCGCAGGACCCGCCCCGCCGCGCCCGGAGCCGCCUCCCAUAGCCGCCGCCGGUCGCCGCGCCCGGAGCCGCCUCCCGCAGCCGCGGCCGGUCGCCGCGGCCGUCGCCCCGGGAGCCUCCCCGCCGGCCUUUUGCCGCCUCCCGCGGCCGCGCCCUUCGUCGCCGGUGGCCGCGCACGUCGCCCCGGGAACCGCCCCGCCAGCCCUUUGCCGCCUCCCGCAGGCGCGCCCGUCGCCCCGGGAGUCACCCGCCAGGCCCUUCACCGCGGGAGCCGCCCCCGAGCUCGUCCGUCGCGCCCGUGUCGCCGCGGGAGCCGCCGCCGAGCCCGUCCAUCGCGCCCGAGCCGCUGCCUGGCGCGGGCCAGGGUGCUCGCGACGUGACGAAUCGUCCACGUCGGCCCCUCACCGAUCUGUGCCGGAUUUUGCAUCGCCAUGCCGCCGUCUUCAUCGACCUCUCACAGUCUCACUGCAUACUGUUAUGGGCGGCCGGCGAACAAACCCACCUACUGUCAUAUCCAUCUCAAGAUUGAACGCACCUCACCUAUCCUUCGUUUCACAGCCUUUCAGGUUUUAUUCAUCUCUGUGAUACAAACUUCACCACAUUGGAGCUGUGAUGAUGCGUGUGAUGUAGCCUUUGUUCAUACUUGAAUCGAAUGCUCACGAGCUUUGGUGGUUGAUAUUUUGCUGGAUGUUUCAACAGCCCUGCGCGGCUACAUUGACGACCGAGCGAGCAAGCAGACGUGUAAUGCGAAACAUCUGAUGUGCAGUUCAGGACCAAAUCCACCAGGACCGAUUGAUGGAGUUCAGAGUCCCUGAAUCCACCGGUAUUGGUCUUUGUUCAAAGCAAAGAGAGGGCAAAAGAGCUCUACAGAGAGCUGGUAUAUGACGACAUUAGAGUUGAUGUAAUCCAUGGAGACCUUACUGAAGAGCAGCGUCAAGAUGCUGUUGACAACUUGAGAGCUGGAAAAAGGUGGGUGCUAAUAGCAACAGAGGUUCUCCCGCGGGGAAUGGAUUUCAAAGGUGUCAAGUGUGUAAUCAACUAUGAUUUCCCUGAGUCCGCGUCUGCCUACAUUCACAGAAUAGGACAGUCCGGAAGAGCAGGCAGAUCGGGGGAGGCGAUCACGUUCUUCACGGAGGAGGACAAGCCGUUCCUGUGGAACAUCGCCAACAUACUGGUAUCUUCGGGCUGCGAGGUUCCUUCCUGGAUGGUGGCGUUGCCCAAGCUCAAGAGCAGGAAGCACAGGGUGGACAGGUGUGUCGAUCUUGAUCAUCUAAUUCAUUGCCGUCAUAUUAGCAAAGUGUUGAUCGUCUCAUACGCACGAGGCUUUGCAGCUAGAUAAAAAAGAUCGAAAGCAGACAGACGUAUUAGGAAGUGUUGGUACCGUGGAAGACCCAAUAAGAUUAGUCACCGAUCUUAUUGAAGCAGAAGACCCAAUAGGCAGUGUGGGUCAUGACUCACAAGUUCAAGGCGUUUGAGGUAUAGAUCACAAUAUCAUUUUUUUUCUUUGAUAAUUUGGUGGUUAGUGGUGUUGCCACACGACCAAGUUCACAUAUAUCCUUUUUCUUCGUUUCAACUAUUCUAGAUUCUCUUAUUUGUUUAUUUCUUUUUCCUGUGAAAUUCAUUCUUUUCGUUUCCUUGUGUGUGCAUGGAUCUACCAGGAAACAAAUGGUGAGUGGUCCUCUGUCAACCUCAUUCCUCCCUUGUCCCUUGUUCGGUGGAUUAGUAUUUUUCUGUCAAUGUGUUUAUGCACUUUCUUUCUUUUAGCUCAAGCAUAUAUGAUGAGUCCUUUCAUGCACUUUUUUUACAACACUCUAAUGUGUCUGACAUGAUCAGUUGAUUUUCUGGU
Triticum aestivum (bread wheat) is the source of this 2053-nucleotide long non-coding RNA. RefSeq lists it as uncharacterized. The record is from RefSeq and is a predicted model, not a curated record. Lineage: Eukaryota; Viridiplantae; Streptophyta; Magnoliopsida; Poales; Poaceae. The transcript has 6 exons.